GCUGGGUCGCUAUGGAGUUUUUAACUCCUAGACUUGCCCAUGCUGAGCCAUCAACCAUUUCUCAAUUAUGUUUCAGGUUUCCUAUCCUGGCACUCAUUCUGACGGAGGUGUCUGCUCUUGGUCUCUGCUCUGGUCUUCAAGUUAAAAAAAGAAGAAAGAAGAAAGAAAGAAAGAAAGAAAGAAAGAAAGAAAGAAAGAAAGAAAGAAAGAAAGAAAGAAAGAAAGAACAAUGGAAGUAGAUAGUUUAGGAAAAGCACUGGAUCACGAAUCUAAUGUCUUGUGAUCUAGUCUCUUUUCCAUAUGAUGCAAGAAUUAGACAGUUUCUUUUUUUGAGCUCUAAAGUUCAAAAUUCAAUAUCACCGAAUAUGCUAUUUUCAGGAGGAUGAGGGGAGCACGAUAAUGGGGGAAUUUCUGGAAAGAUGAGGAAGCACAGUCCUCUGGAUCUAAGGGGAAAAGAGUCCUAGAAUUGCUCUCGAGAUUUUCUUUGUCCAACGAUUGUAUGAAAGUGCCAGAGGCAGGAGAUGACAAUGCGAGAUCUUUCUAUAAUAUUUUUAAAAUUUUUUUCUGAUAGAGGUGAUUUUGUUGCCAUUUUCAAAUUUAGGGAGACAGGCUUUUUUAUUAUGGGAAAAUUUAAGAGAAUUUGCAAGAAAAGUCUUUUGCUUUGUCCAAAUGCCAAAGAUGCAAUCAAGAAGGCACUUGAUUUUGUGGCAUUUUUGCAGAUUCCUUUUCACCAUGCUUGUGUAGGCAUGUAAGUAACAUAAAUUAAUGAUUUAGUAGGAUUGAGUUGAUGAAGUGCAGCAAUAAAGACUGCCAGGUACAGGAAUAAUUCAGUCUUUUAUUUUAAGCCACUCGAAAGCUAUAACACCAGAGGGAAAUAGUCACACCAUCAGCAAGCCCAUAGAAAAUGCUUUCACACCAUUGGAAAAGGCUCUGCCAAAUUUCUCAAAAAAUUAUGAAGUGAACUAGACAAAAUAAGCCAAGCCAUCAAACAUCAACAAGACAGGUGUGAGUGGCUGAAGUUGUGGAGGUCUUUUUUUCAGCAGUGUGAUUCCCUGACAUCCCCCGACUCUGCCAUUCUACUCAAUUUCCUCUCACAUCUUCUGUACAGCCCCCUCCCACAUACACAGGACAGAAGUGGGACAAGUGGAGAAGAAAAUGAUGAGAGUAAUGCCGAGGGAAGACAGCAGUGUGUUUAACAUCACAAGAUCAGAGGGAGCCCAGAAGCAGAACCUAGAAAAAUCCUUUCACAGCAUGCAAUAUAGAACAAAAAUCCCUAGAAAACUCAAAUACUACUAUUAUCAUGUUUCAAAACAAGAAAGCUAAGAAAGGUGACAAAAGGACCCAAGAAAGGCUAGCACAUACUUUUAGCCACCUGUGUGUCAGGUGGGAAGUUUUCAUCAGAACGCUUUAAUUCUUGUCUUUGAUGUAUGAGCCCAAUCAAGACAAUAAUGUGUCCUUGAACCAAAAUGAAUCCCCUAUGAUAGGCUCUAUCACUCGGGGUGAUAAACAAAGCUUUUAAAGACAUAAACUAGCUCCAUAGGUGGCCUCCACUCACUCCAAGAAAGCUUUUGAUUAAAAGAAAAAAAAAAUGUAUGGAGGAGCAAAGUUGAAUGAAGGCAUACAGAAAGUUUUAUUGCAUUCGGAAGAAAUAAACAUGAAAAUGAGGCCUCUUCAGUAACUCUACGAGGAUGGACAAAUGGAAGAAGCCAGACCAUCAGAUAAAAGGAGAAGGAACAACUUCGCCUCCAUGGCCUCAAGAUUUUUACUUUGAGGAGCAUAACCAUCGAAGGUUGAACUACCACCUAAUUCUUCUCCACGGGGUUGCCUGACUAGCUCAACCACAAAUAAGACCUCUGCUCAAUGGGCUUUGCUGAGAAGGUUGAGGCGCAACCUGCAGGAAGCAUGGACCCACUGGUGCUCCAUUGGAUGGCAGCCUUCACAGAUGAAGGGAUGAAUCCUGGGCAAACAAGUGACAGAAGCCAAAAAGCAGAGAAAUGGAAGAACAAUGGGAAAUGGAGAAAUUGAGAUGAGAUUUUCAGCAUGAAGAGAAGUUCUAAUGGAAAGGAAUUUCUCCUGGUUUGAAUGUUAGAAGGCUACAAUAAAAAAUGGAAUCUCCCCCGCCUGGUGAGAAUGGAAAUACGGAAGGACUAGUUAGUGGGUGACUCACAAGAAGAAGCAAUUAUACCUUUCAGGCUUUGGAGCUGGUCAGGGGAAAACAGAAUUGAGAGUCCUGUUAGUAAACUCACCCUUGAAUUUCUCAGGAUGCGGAGGACUUAGACGUGGCUGUGAACGGUGCUAAGUCACUCACUUUAACUCUCCGAAGGCACAGUUUUUAGAACACUCACACACUGUUGGGGGAUAAGUUUGGUUGGAUUCAGUUAGCUGCUGUUUUUCUAGGAGAAAUAAGUGAAAACUACAUGAACCAACAUUUCCAAAGCUACUACACAGAAGUUCUGGCAAAUUUGGUGGUUUGAGAGCAAGGGUAUUACCGUCUGAUUUCAUUGCAGAAAAAAACAUAAAAUAGGAUGUUUUACUUUUUUCGUGUUUAACUUUUCAAGCUUAAAUGGUAAAAAACUAUGGGAAUGAAAAAAAAAUGGGAAUGUGGCAAAGCAAACGUCAAUAAGAAGAUACAAUUUAAAAAAGAGUUGAAAAUAUCCUUUGUUAUUUAUCAUCUUGUAGUGGAAUAAAAGUGAAUGUGAUGAAAUCACAAUGGACUAAACUGACUUUCUCCUACAAUUCAAAGCAUUGGGCCAAUUCUUCAAAUCAUGUACAGAUGGUAACAAUUCUUGAGUUGUCUUCAUAAUGAGGGACUGGUGAGAUAAGAAAACUUUAAAUCAAUAUUUAUUACCCAAACAUACUUAAACCAUAUCUUUCAUUUUUCUUUUACCAAAUCUAUGGUUUUCAAAUUAGAACUGCUAACAAUCAAAGACCUUUAUAAAUUCACCUAUCAUUAGAACCCUGUUUUUGACAGUUCUACAUUGAAUUGUUGAAAAAGUGCUUCAAGAAAGCAUCAAAAUAUCUAUAACUAUUAAUGCCCAUAAGGAAACCAUGUACUAAUGCAUUUAAAUAGUCGCCACUGUUUUAUUCAAAUGAUUUUAAAGAUUCGAGAUGAAUGAUUUUUAGUUUAGCAUAGUACAGCAUUUUAAUACAAAUGAAUCAUUGGUUUAAAAUGAUUUAAAAAUAUUUGGCCUUUAAACAUUGUUAGCAUUUUUCCCCCCGGCAUAAAAAGUAGAGAUUUGGGAAAUACAGAUUAUUAGAAAAAAAAAAAAGAAAUUAUGAAAAAGAUUCUAAUCUCACUAAUUAGGUUCAACCACGGUUAAAUAUUAGUAUAUUUUCCUGA
This is a long non-coding RNA of Canis lupus familiaris (dog), 3340 nucleotides long. RefSeq lists it as uncharacterized. NCBI's taxonomy places the organism in Eukaryota, Metazoa, Chordata, Mammalia, Carnivora, Canidae. The record is from RefSeq and is a predicted model, not a curated record. The transcript has 3 exons.